GUAGUCUGCAACCCGACUACAUGAAGCUGGAAUCGCUAGUAAUCGCGGAUCAGAAUGCCGCGGUGAAUACGUUCCCGGGUCUUGUACACACCGCCCGUCACACCAUGGGAGUCGGAAAUGCCCGAAGUCAGUGGCCCAACCGGAAGGGGGGAGCUGCCGAAGGCAGGUUCGAUGACUGGGGUGAAGUCGUAACAAGGUACC
RNAcentral lists this ribosomal RNA (201 nucleotides) under uncultured bacterium. RNAcentral describes it as "partial 16S ribosomal RNA". It matches the Rfam family "Bacterial small subunit ribosomal RNA", at positions 1300 to 1500 of the family's 1533-position model. The record is from RNAcentral.